CAGCCGCCGCGGUAAUACGAAGGGGGCUAGCGUUGUUCGGAUUUACUGAGCGUAAAGCGCACGUAGGCGGACUUUUAAGUCAGGGGUGAAAUCCCGGGGCUCAACCCCGGAACUGCCUUUGAUACUGGGAGUCUUGAGUUCGAGAGAGGUGAGUGGAAUUGCGAGUGUAGAGGUGAAAUUCGUAGAUAUUCGCAGGAACACCAGUGGCGAAGGCGGCUCACUGGCUCGAUACUGACGCUGAGGUGCGAAAGCGUGGGGAGCAAACAGGAUUAGAUACCCCGGUAGUCCCUGUCUCUUAUAA
Molecule: ribosomal RNA, 301 nt
Filed under: uncultured bacterium
Lineage: Bacteria
Description: partial 16S ribosomal RNA
Rfam family: Bacterial small subunit ribosomal RNA
Source: RNAcentral